CUACGGGUUGCAGCAGUGGGGAAUAUUGCACAAUGGGCGCAAGCCUGAUGCGGCCAUGCCGCGUGUAUGAAGAAGGCCUUCGGGUUGUAAAGUACUUUCAGCGGGGAGGAAGGGAGUAAAGUUAAUACCUUUGCUCAUUGACGUUACCCGCAGAAGAAGCACCGGCUAACUCCGUGCCAGCAGCCGCGGUAAUACGGAGGGUGCAAGCGUUAAUCGGAAUUACUGGGCGUAAAGCGCACGCAGGCGGUUGGUUAAGUCAGAUGUGAAAUCCCCGGGCUCAACCUGGGAACUGCAUCUGAUACUGGCAAGCUUGAGUCUCGUAGAGGGGGGUAGAAUUCCAGGUGUAGCGGUGAAAUGCGUAGAGAUCUGGAGGAAUACCGGUGGCGAAGGCGGCCCCCUGGACGAAGACUGACGCUCAGGUGCGAAAGCGUGGGGAGCAAACAGGAUUAGAUACCCGAGUAGUC
Molecule: ribosomal RNA, 464 nt
Filed under: uncultured bacterium
Lineage: Bacteria
Description: partial 16S ribosomal RNA
Rfam family: Bacterial small subunit ribosomal RNA
Source: RNAcentral